GAUGAACGCUGGCGGCGUGCCUAAUACAUGCAAGUCGAGCGAACAGACGAGGAGCUUGCUCCUCUGACGUUAGCGGCGGACGGGUGAGUAACACGUGGAUAACCUACCUAUAAGACUGGGAUAACUUCGGGAAACCGGAGCUAAUACCGGAUAAUAUAUUGAACCGCAUGGUUCAAUAGUGAAAGACGGUUUUGCUGUCACUUAUAGCUGGAUCCGCGCCGCAUUAGCUAGUUGGUAAGGUAACGGCUUACCAAGGCAACGAUGCGUAGCCGACCUGAGAGGGUGAUCGGCCACACUGGAACUGAGACACGGUCCAGACUCCUACGGGAGGCAGCAGUAGGGAAUCUUCCGCAAUGGGCGAAAGCCUGACGGAGCAACGCCGCGUGAGUGAUGAAGGUCUGCGGAUCGUAAAACUCUGUUAUUAGGGAAGAACAAAUGUGUAAGUAACUAUGCACGUCUUGACGGUACCUAAUCAGAAAGCCACGGCUAACUACGU
RNAcentral lists this ribosomal RNA (496 nucleotides) under uncultured bacterium. RNAcentral describes it as "partial 16S ribosomal RNA". It matches the Rfam family "Bacterial small subunit ribosomal RNA", at positions 28 to 506 of the family's 1533-position model. The record is from RNAcentral.